This 372-nucleotide ribosomal RNA is filed under the name uncultured bacterium. RNAcentral describes it as "bacterial SSU rRNA". It matches the Rfam family "Bacterial small subunit ribosomal RNA", at positions 524 to 898 of the family's 1533-position model. The record is from RNAcentral.
UACGGAGGAUGCAAGCGUUAUCCGGAUUCAUUGGGUUUAAAGGGUGCGCAGGCGGGCUUGUAAGUCAGUGGUGAAAUACUGCCGCUUAACGGUAGAAUUGCCAUUGAUACUGCAGGUCUUGAGUAUGGAUGAGGUAGGCGGAAUGUGCAGUGUAGCGGUGAAAUGCAUAGAUAUUGCACAGAACUCCGAUUGCGAAGGCAGCUUACUAAUCCAUGACUGACGCUGAGGCACGAAAGCGUGGGGAGCGAACAGGAUUAGAUACCCUGGUAGUCCACGCUGUAAACGAUGUUCACUCGCUGUUUGCGAUAUACAGUAAGCGGCUGAGCGAAAGCAUUAAGUGAACCACCUGGGGAGUGCGAUCGCAAGGUUGAA